AAUGGGGGAAACCCUGAUGCAGCAACGCCGCGUGAGGUAUGAAGGCCUUUGGGUUGUAAGCCUCUGUCCUAGGGGAAGAAAAAAAUGACGGUACCCGAGGAGGAAGCCCCGGCUAACUACGUGCCAGCAGCCGCGGUAAUACGUAGGGGGCAAGCGUUAUCCGGAAUUAUUGGGCGUAAAGAGUGCGUAGGUGGUCUACUAAGCGCGAGGUGAAAGGCAAUGGCUCAACCAUUGUUAGCCUUGUGAACUGGCAGACUUGAGUGCAAGAGAGGAAAGCGGAAUUCCUAGUGUAGCGGUGAAAUGCGCAGAUAUUAGGAGGAACACCGGCGGCGAAGGCGGCCUUCUGGAUUGUAACUGACACUGAGGCACGAAAGCGUGGGUAGCAAACAGGAUUAGAUACCCUGCUAGUCCACGCCGUAAACGAUGAGCACUAGGUGUCGGGACAUGAGUCUCGGUGCCGCAGUUAACGC
This 470-nucleotide ribosomal RNA is filed under the name [Eubacterium] saphenum. RNAcentral describes it as "bacterial SSU rRNA". It matches the Rfam family "Bacterial small subunit ribosomal RNA", at positions 370 to 858 of the family's 1533-position model. Lineage: Bacteria; Bacillati; Bacillota; Clostridia; Peptostreptococcales; Anaerovoracaceae. The record is from RNAcentral.